This is a long non-coding RNA of Anopheles funestus (African malaria mosquito), 500 nucleotides long. RefSeq lists it as uncharacterized. The record is from RefSeq and is a predicted model, not a curated record. Lineage: Eukaryota; Metazoa; Arthropoda; Insecta; Diptera; Culicidae. The transcript has 3 exons.
UGUCAGCCGGAGUUCCGUAGGAUUUAGUUCUAGGUCGAACUCCAAGAAAUGGUAAUGUUCCUAAUGGAUGACGAACAUGUCUGUUUGCAUAUUAGGCGGACACAUCAACGCCAUCACUCCAUCUCAGUUUGGCUCUACCACGGCUCCUCUGUCCAUGUGGACGACCUAAAAAGUACACAUUUGAUAUACAGACACUGCCAAGAUGAUUCGUUAUUCGUAAAUAUCCAUGGGUAAGGGUAAAUCGUAGGGGCUAACCGAAAGCUUUAGUGAGCAAUGUAUUUUUCAUUUUUGGUCUUCCAGGUGUUUGCAGAUCAAAGGAGAUCGCAAAAGUAAAGAAAAGGAUAGAAAUGUAAUGGGCUAAAUCACUCAAGUACAGUGCUCUAAGAUCCUGCUCAUUGUAAGGAUAGACUUCCGAAUUGUUGAGAGAAUCGUUCGAUACUGCACAUUAGAAAGCUGAACAAGACGAUGCGACAGCAGAGAUGAAAAUUAUUUCCACACAC